RNAcentral lists this small RNA (92 nucleotides) under Salmonella enterica subsp. enterica serovar Typhi str. STH2370. Its description in RNAcentral is "sX9". The record is from RNAcentral. Lineage: Bacteria; Pseudomonadati; Pseudomonadota; Gammaproteobacteria; Enterobacterales; Enterobacteriaceae.
ACGUACUACGUGUACGCUCCGGUUUUUGCGCGCUGUCCGUGUCCAAACUGACUGCGCCAAUAACGCCUGGUGGGAUAGGCUCUUAGUCAGAA